This 315-nucleotide ribosomal RNA is filed under the name uncultured eukaryote. RNAcentral's name for it is "partial 18S ribosomal RNA". It matches the Rfam family "Eukaryotic small subunit ribosomal RNA", at positions 1470 to 1796 of the family's 1831-position model. The record is from RNAcentral.
CCCUUAGACGUUCUGGGCCGCACGCGCGCUACACUGACCAGUGCAACAAGCAUCCGUCCUUGGCCGACAGGCCCGGGCAAUCUUUGAACGCUGGUCGUGAUGGGGAUAGACUUUUGCAAUUUUUGGUCUUCAACGAGGAAUUCCUAGUAAACGCAAGUCAUCAGCUUGCAUUGAUUACGUCCCUGCCCUUUGUACACACCGCCCGUCGCACCUACCGAUUGAAUGGUCCGGUGAAGCCUCCGGAUUGGCGCGCACCUCGGUGCCGCCGAGAAGUUGGCUAAACCUUACCAUUUAGAGGAAGGUGAAGUCGUANCA